This is a non-coding RNA of Podarcis lilfordi (Lilford's wall lizard), 77 nucleotides long. The record is from the annotation of a GenBank genome assembly. NCBI's taxonomy places the organism in Eukaryota, Metazoa, Chordata, Lepidosauria, Squamata, Lacertidae.
GGAGAAGGGAUUUAGCUUGGUGGUAGAGCAUCCACCUUAGAUGCCGAAGGUCACAGGUUCAAUCCCUGGUGUCUCCA